Molecule: ribosomal RNA, 482 nt
Filed under: uncultured bacterium
Lineage: Bacteria
Description: partial 16S ribosomal RNA
Rfam family: Bacterial small subunit ribosomal RNA
Source: RNAcentral
GAUGAACGCUAGCGGCAGGCCUAAUACAUGCCAGUCGAACGAGAUUAAGAGGCUUGCUUCUUAUGAAAGUGGCGCACGGGUGCGUAACGCGUAUGCAACCUACCUUAAUCAGGGGGAUAGCCCGAAGAAAUUCGGAUUAAGACCGCAUAAAAACACAGGAUAGCAUUAUCCAAUGUUCAAAUAUUUAUAGGAUUAAGAUGGGCAUGCGUGUCAUUAGCUAGUUGGCGGGGUAACGGCCCACCAAGGCGACGAUGACUAGGGGAUCUGAGAGGAUGACCCCCCACACUGGUACUGAGACACGGACCAGACUCCUACGGGAGGCAGCAGUAAGGAAUAUUGGUCAAUGGAGGGAACUCUGAACCAGCCAUGCCGCGUGCAGGAAGACAGCCCUCUGGGUCGUAAACUGCUUUUAUUCGGGAAUAAACCUUUCUACGUGUAGGAAGCUGAAUGUACCGAAGGAAUAAGGAUCGGCUAACUCCGUG